RNAcentral lists this transfer RNA (86 nucleotides) under Hypnocyclicus thermotrophus. It matches the Rfam family "tRNA". From Rfam's summary of the family: Transfer RNA (tRNA) molecules are approximately 80 nucleotides in length. Their secondary structure includes four short double-helical elements and three loops (D, anti-codon, and T loops). Lineage: Bacteria; Fusobacteriati; Fusobacteriota; Fusobacteriia; Fusobacteriales; Fusobacteriaceae. The record is from Rfam by way of RNAcentral.
GGAGAAAUGGCAGAGCUGGCCGAAUGCGCACCCCUGCUAAGGGUGUAUACCUCCGGGUAUCGAGGGUUCGAAUCCCUCUUUCUCCG